RNAcentral lists this ribosomal RNA (490 nucleotides) under uncultured bacterium. RNAcentral describes it as "partial 16S ribosomal RNA". It matches the Rfam family "Bacterial small subunit ribosomal RNA", at positions 30 to 507 of the family's 1533-position model. The record is from RNAcentral.
AUUGAACGCUGGCGGCAGGCCUAACACAUGCAAGUCGAACGGUAACAGGAAGCAGCUUGCUGCUUUGCUGACGAGUGGCGGACGGGUGAGUAAUGUCUGGGAAACUGCCCGAUGGAGGGGGUUAACUACUGGAAACGGUAGCUAAUACCGCAUAACGUCGCAAGACCAAAGAGGGGGACCUUAGGGCCUCUUGCCAUCGGAUGUGCCCAGAUGGGAUUAGCUAGUAGGUGGGGUAACGGCUCACCUAGGCGACGAUCCCUAGCUGGUCUGAGAGGAUGACCAGCCACACUGGAACUGAGACACGGUCCAGACUCCUACGGGAGGCAGCAGUGGGGAAUAUUGCACAAUGGGCGCAAGCCUGAUGCAGCCGUGCCGCGUGUAUGAAGAAGGCCUUCGGGUUGUAAAGUACUUUCAGCGGGGAGGAAGGGAGUAAAGUUAAUACCUUUGCUCAUUGACGUUACCCGCAGAAGAAGCACCGGCUAACUCCGUG